AACCCAAAACUCUGAGUUCAAAAGUAUUCCUUUACUUGAUGUGACACAUCUGUGAUAUUUUUUUUUUUAUUAAUCAUAAAGGUUAUGAAGCAUUUCUCAUUGGGAAACAGAUUUUUUUUUAUAGCUGGGUGGAGAACAAUAAAUUAGAAGGUUGGAUGGAAAUUAAAGCAGAUGGAUGAGAACGAGCUGGUGACAAGAAAAAGAGGAAGAAGCGCAGGAAGGAAUCUUUCGCUAUUUAUAUCUACAAGGUUUUGAAACAGGUUCAUCCCGACAUUGGUAUUUCCAGCAAAGCAAUGUCCAUCAUGAAUUCCUUCGUUAACGACAUCUUUGAGAGAAUUGCAGCAGAAUCUUUUCGUUUAGCUCAUUACAAUAAGAGGAGUACUAUCACUAGGCAAGAAACUCAAACUGCAGUACGAUUGUUGUUGCCUGAUGAACUGGCAAAACAUGCUGUUGGGGAAGGUACCAAAGCUAUCACCAAGUACACCAGCUCUAAAUAAAUUUUCAAAGCUUUCUUUAUAAAAAAAGGCCCUAAUGAUAAAGAUUAGCUGUUGCCUGCUUAUCCUUAAAUUCUAUGCCACAUAUCACUCAUUUCACAUAGGCAUUCUUAAAGGAAUUCACACUUACUCUUUGCAAAAGAAUUUAAUGAUAUACUUCAACUUUGCAAGUUGACAUCUCAGCUCAUCUUUAUCCUUGUUGCUCUGCAUCCAAUUUCUUUCUUUCAAAAUAUGGAUCUAAUCCUAUAUACGCACAAUAAUGAGAGGUGAAAUAAUUCUAUGCUUUGCCUUUCAUGAUUCCUUGGUAUCAAAAUUCAUUGGCUGACAUCAGCCUUAAUAGCUUUCAAUGCAGUUGUUUUUCCAUAAGUUUGCUAUUUAUCAAAUUCAGCAAAAUGUCUUCAUAUCAGUGUUGUUGCUUUCAGGUGUAUGCAUCACGAAUCGUUUGAACUUCUGGUUCUGUGCACUUAUCGAAUAUAAAACAUUUGAUUUUGUCAGUAGUAACAACAAAUUCGAUGAAAGUCCUUUCCUUUCACAAAGUGAAUUAAUGUUGCAUCUCAUAACCAUCAGAUUUCAGCUGUGUGAGAUGAUAUUCCAUUUGCAUUAAAUGACCUAAUUAAAGUGAAGAUGACUUCUUGUUUCUAAACACAAGGUAUUACCUCACUUUCAUGUAAAUUUUUCAAAUAUGCUUAAAUGGAAGUAGUUCUAAAUAUUGUACUACUAGUUCAAUGAUGAUAACAAGAUUCUAAUUAUCAGGUACAACAAUGAACAUAGCUGUCUUUCGGUAUGUCAGCAACUGCUUAUUUAUUUUUUCUACCUCAUCAGAAAGCGAUACUGACUACUCAAAUGAGAACUGAUACUGCAUUCAUGUUUAAAUCUGAUUAUGUCACUCAAUAUAAAGUGCAAUAAAUUCGGUAUCCAUCAAGGAAUACUCUCUAAAUUAAGAGUGCUAUGUCAGUAAGCAUUUCUAAUAUACAGCAAGAACACUCUUCCAACUUUCCAGCUCAGAACAUGUAUGUAAUAUGAUUAAUAAGUUUGAAAAAAACUAUUUUCAUAUGAUAGACCAAGUAUUUGGAAUUACAGAAUAUUUUUCUUUUUAAAAAAUAUAUCAUAAACACAAUAAAUACUCAUAGAAUUUCCAAUUUUAUAUACAACAUAAAAGGGUAAAACGUAAUCAAAGCACAUGCAUGAUGAAAAUUUCAAAUACAUAGUAAAGUAUUCACAUGAAGAUCCACUAUGAUAAGUGGAAGCCUUCAUCAAGCAUUUAGAAUUAUGGGAUAUCCUUCUUCUUUUUUCCAAAACAAUUAUUAUAAGAAAUAAACAUUUAUACACCAGAAAGAAAAACUCAGAAGAAAAAUAUGGAUUUUUAAAAAAUGCUUUUAUCCUACAAAUUUUCCGAUUACUUAUGGAAUAAACUUACCUUUCAAUAAAAACUACAUUCCUAUUUAUAUAUUACACAGAUUUAGUUGAACAAUGCUAAGUUCUUGAACAUUCUUUACCCUAAACAUGCACCAUCUUGCUAUACAGGAUGCAAUUUGAUCUGACCACUUUAUAAGUUGAGUGAUCACUUCAGCACAACAGAACUCUUUUGAACAAUGAAUUCUAUUGCAUCUGCCUGCCCCACUCUGAAAUAGAUAUCGAGGGUUAAUUUGCAUUUCAAUAGCUAUUUACAUACAGUGUAAGUGGCAACAGUUGUAUUGCCUCACUGAAUGAUUCCAGUACUUUCCUGCAAUGUGUUUUGAUUCUGUGUGACAUUAUUUAGUGUAGAAAUAAAAUUUAUAAAACUUC
This 2279-nucleotide long non-coding RNA is filed under the name Stegodyphus dumicola. RNAcentral's name for it is "uncharacterized LOC118204898". Lineage: Eukaryota; Metazoa; Arthropoda; Arachnida; Araneae; Eresidae. The record is from RNAcentral.